RNAcentral lists this ribosomal RNA (405 nucleotides) under uncultured Clostridium sp. Its description in RNAcentral is "bacterial SSU rRNA". It matches the Rfam family "Bacterial small subunit ribosomal RNA", at positions 978 to 1382 of the family's 1533-position model. The record is from RNAcentral. Lineage: Bacteria; Bacillati; Bacillota; Clostridia; Eubacteriales; Clostridiaceae.
GACUUGACAUCUCCUCGAAUUACCCGUAACCUGGGGAAGGCUCUUCGGAGCAGGGAAGACAGGUGGUGCAUGGUUGUCGUCAGCUCGUGUCGUGAGAUGUUGGGUUAAGUCCCGCAACGAGCGCAACCCUUAUCGUUAGUUGCUACCAUUAAGUUGAGCACUCUAGCGAGACUGCCCGGGUUAACCGGGAGGAAGGUGGGGAUGACGUCAAAUCAUCAUGCCCCUUAUGUCUAGGGCUACACACGUGCUACAAUGGUGAGGACAAAGAGACGCAAGACCGCGAGGUGGAGCAAAUCUCACAAACCUCAUCCCAGUUCGGAUUGCAGGCUGAAACUCGCCUGCAUGAAGCCGGAGUUGCUAGUAAUCGCGAAUCAGCAUGUCGCGGUGAAUACGUUCCCGGGCCUU